CCUACGGGAGGCAGCAGUGGGGAAUAUUGCACAAUGGGGGAAACCCUGAUGCAGCAACGCCGCGUGAGUGAAGCAGUAUUUCGGUAUGUAAAGCUCUAUCAGCAGGGAAGAAGAUGACGGUACCUGAGUAAGAAGCCCCGGCUAACUACGUGCCAGCAGCCGCGGGAAUCCGUAGGGGGCAAGCGUUAUCCGGAUUUACUGGGUGGAAAGGGAGCGUAGACGGUGAGACAAGUCUGAAGUGAAAGCCCGGGGCUCAACCCCGGGACUGCUUUGGAAACUGCCUGACUGGAGUACUGGAGAGGCAAGCGGAAUUCCUAGUGUAGCGGUGAAAUGCGUAGAUAUUAGGAAGAACACCAGUUGCGAAGGUGGCCUGCUGGACAGUAACUGACGUUGAGGCUCGAAAGCGUGGGGAGCAAACAGGAUUAGAUACCCGAGUAGUC
RNAcentral lists this ribosomal RNA (440 nucleotides) under uncultured bacterium. RNAcentral describes it as "partial 16S ribosomal RNA". It matches the Rfam family "Bacterial small subunit ribosomal RNA", at positions 338 to 795 of the family's 1533-position model. The record is from RNAcentral.